UACGGAGGGUGCGAGCGUUGUUCGGAAUCACUGGGCGUAAAGCGCGUGUAGGCGGCCUUUUAAGUCUGAUGUGAAAGCCCGGGGCUUACCCCCGGAAGGGCAUUGGAAACUGGGAGGCUCGAGUACCGGAGAGGAAGGUGGAAUUCCUGGUGUAGCGGUGAAAUGCGUAGAUAUCAGGAGGAACACCGGUGGCGAAGGCGGCCUUCUGGACGGAUACUGACGCUGAGACGCGAAAGCGUGGGGAGCAAACAGG
Molecule: ribosomal RNA, 253 nt
Filed under: uncultured bacterium
Lineage: Bacteria
Description: partial 16S ribosomal RNA
Rfam family: Bacterial small subunit ribosomal RNA
Source: RNAcentral